This 253-nucleotide ribosomal RNA is filed under the name uncultured bacterium. RNAcentral describes it as "partial 16S ribosomal RNA". It matches the Rfam family "Bacterial small subunit ribosomal RNA", at positions 524 to 776 of the family's 1533-position model. The record is from RNAcentral.
UACGUAGGGGGCUAGCGUUGUCCGGAAUCAUUGGGCGUAAAGAGCGUGUAGGCGGUCCGGUAAGUCCGCUGUGAAAGUCGGGGGCUCAACCCUCGAAUGCCGGUGGAUACUGUCGGGCUAGAGUGCGGAAGAGGCAAGUGGAAUUCCUGGUGUAGCGGUGAAAUGCGCAGAUAUCAGGAGGAACACCUAUUGCGAAGGCAGCUCGCUGGGACGUAACUGACGCUGAGACGCGAAAGCGUGGGGAGCAAACAGG